Molecule: long non-coding RNA, 2004 nt
Organism: Neofelis nebulosa (Clouded leopard)
Lineage: Eukaryota; Metazoa; Chordata; Mammalia; Carnivora; Felidae
Exons: 2
Source: RefSeq, a predicted model, not a curated record
GCAGCCAUCUGGAUGGGCUUCAGCUUCUGAGCGGCAUCCAGGGCUUGGGCUGCCUGGCGGUUCCAGAAGGCUGGGUCCUCCUCCUCAACUGGCCAAGGGGAGAGUGGAAGCCAGGCAGAGAGGACCCAGGGGUGAGCUUCUUCUCUCCAUGGGCCACGAAUACCCACAGGUAUGGCUUCUGAUAAGGAACAAAGAGGUUUCUGUGACCAGACCGGUUCAAAAGCAUUCCUCCAAUCCAGCGACCGCACGUCUGGGUGUAUAGCCAAAAGAUUUGAAAGCAAGGUCUGGGAGGGAGAUUUGCAGCCCCAUGUUCAUAGCUGCCUUGUUCACAGGAGCGAAAAGGUGGAAGCAAUUCAAGUGUCUAUCAUGAGAUGAACGUAUAAACAAGACGUGGUCCGUCCACGUAAGGGGAUAUUAUUCAGCCUUAAAAAGGAAGGGAAUCCUGUCACACGCUGCCACAUGGAUGAGCCCUCAGGGUGUGAUGCUAAGUGAAAUAGGCCAGUCACUGAAGGGCAAACCUGUGUGAUUCUACUUAGACGAGGCAUCUCACGUCGUCAAAUGCAUAGAACUGGUUGCCAGGGCCCCGGAGGAGGAGGCCGGGGGAGGAGGUGUUUAGUGGGAACAGAGUUUCAGUUUUGAAGAUGAAAACCUCCCGGAGAGCUGCUGUCCGACAGCCACAGCGCGCAUUCACUCUACUGAGCCAGGCACUUACAAGUGGUUAUGAUGGUAAAUUUUGUGUUGUGCUUUUCCCCACCAUUAGAAAAAAAUUGGGGGGCACCUGGGUGGCUCAGUCAGUUGAGCAGGACAGACUUCGGCUCAGGGCACGAUGGUUGAGUUUGAGCCCCGCAUCUGGCUCGACACUGUCCGCUCAGAGCCCGCUUUGGAUCCUCUGUCCCCCUUUCUCUCUGCCCCUCCCUCGCUUGUGUGAGCUCUCUCUCUCUCUCUCAAAAAUAAAUAAACCUUAAACAUUUUUUUUUUUUUUUCAAAGAAGAAAAACCUUCCUCCCAACUCCGCCCACCCCAGUGGACCACGGUAGCUCCGUUUUGCGCUCUGGCCUCCUCACCACCUGAGCCACGUGCUUGGUCCCCAAAACCAGGGAGAGUGCCCUGGCCGCCAGCAUCUCCCUGCCCAGCCCCCACCUCUCAAGCAGAGCUUUCCUGGGGCCGCCUCCACACUGACCUGGCUGUCCUCUCCAUCUGAGGAGAGCUAGCGCCUUGGGAGGCAUCCUUCCUGGCCUCUGAAGUGUCCCCGUAGCUCCUCUGUCCCCUGCAUCAUCUUGCUGUGCUAGGGAAAUUCUUGGCUAAAGGUCAGGGGAGACUAACCCCUGGGCGGGUCCUUAAUUAAUUAACUGGUUCUUUUUACCAGGCUGUAGGUGAAAGGUUUAUUAUUCCGAGAUUAGUCUUCCGGUGAAUUCCCCAUCCCCGUUAUCAAUUGGAAUUUUUGACAUAACUGUAGAUUCGCAUGCAGUUGUAAGAAAUAAUACAGAGAAUCCUUGGAUGCCGCCCAAUUUCCCCCAGUGGCACAAAGUCACAGAUUCUCAGAUUUCUAUUCGGAGUUCCCCUGUUUUACAUGAACUCCUUCGUGUGGGCAUGUAGGUUCCAUAUCAUCUUGUCCCAUGCGUGGGUUCAUGUAAACACCACUACAGUUAAGAUACCGAACAGCUCCAACCCCGGAGAUUGGAACAGAUCCCUUUAUAACCACCCUACCUCCCUCCCACACCCCUGCUCAGUCCCUAACCCCUCUCCUGCAUUUCUAAAAUUUUGUCAUCUCAAAUUGGUAGGGAAGAAUCUGUUAUAAGACGGCCGACAGGACUGACAGGGGAAUUUCUGUCCCUGCCCGAAGACUUCCCUUCCUGGUUCUUCUUCCUGCCAAAUUACUACUAAUGCUGAAUGCAGAAAUAACAGACUAUAAACUGUCCCCCAUGCUUACGCUCAGGACCCAGACCUCUGGAGAGUGAUCUCCUCUGAGCCCGCUGGUGUGAAAUAAACCUCCUGCCUUCCGAGA